UUUUUUUUAAAUCAAUGGUUGAGAUUGAAAGUUGCUUUUUGUAACUAUCAAUUUCAAUCAUUUAUAAGAAUUGCAUCAGAUGCAAUACCCACUUGAUCUCAAUCCAAAUUACAUGCGUAUAUACCAUAUAAGGAAAAGGCUCUAGCCACCACUAGCGAAGCCAGAGGGGGGCACCUGCCCCCUGACUCCUCCUAAAAUUUUCUAGCAUUAGUAGUCUAAAGUAAUUACUUAGAGUAUCACCAGCAGUCUCUCCAAAUUUUUGCCUAUUUGGAGAGUGAACAGUGCAUUUUACCUUUUAGUUACUAACUCUUUCAAAUACAUUUUCCAACAAAUUUUUUAUCCCAUUCUCUAUUUCAUUUAAAUAUUAUUUCUUCAUUCAUUCUUUAUUUUUUUUUUUAUCAUCAUUUAUUCUUCCUAUAUUCAUUCCUAACAAUUAUAUUUUUCAAUAAAAAGUGUUAUAUUCACAACAUUUUUCGCAAUACUUUCACAAGAAUCACAUCAAAAUCUUAUGUGAAAAGUUAUUACUAGUUCUAAUUUGAACCCACCACUGAAAUUAUUUUUUUACUCAUCAAUAUUAGCUAAUAACAAUCUAUUACUUAAAAUUUAUUGUGAAAAUAUUGUAGUAGCAUUUUUAAAUUGUAUUUUUCUUUUCUUUCUUUCUAUCAUCCAUACGUUUCCUUUUUUUUUUCUUUUUCUUAUCCCUUGAUUUUUCUCCACCACACACGUAUACCCAUUAUCUCCAUCCUCUCCUUUUUGUUUUCUCUACUUUCCAGUUUCCACUUCAUUCUAGAACCUCCCUCCCUCUUUCUUUCUCUACUCUUUUUUUUUUUUUUUUUCUUUUUCUACUUGAUUCCAAAACAUUAUCCAACUCUCUCUGUGAUAAGAAACGGAGAAGGAGGUAGAGAGAGAAAGAAUAGAUGGGUUAGAUGGCUCCGCUUCGCCGCGCCUUCGCUCCGCUCUCUGUGCUUCUGCACCUUCUGCUCCUCCGCCGCCGCCGCUUGUCUUCCUCCCCAACGCAACCCAGAUGGGAACAUUUGGUUUGGGUUGUUGGCAGGCCUGAUAUUCGGCUUCGCAGUUUAGCUGAACCGAGCAAGUAGCUCUUGUAAGUUGUAGUGAGACUCUGAUGUGUCUGAACUAGUACUUUUUUGUGUGCAAAAGUGGUAAUUAAACAGACUAGGCCAAAUUUAUCCAAUGAAAAAGAAAAGGAAUAAAGGCAGCUAACGCUCAAGCA
Molecule: RNA transcript, 1231 nt
Organism: Quercus robur (English oak)
Lineage: Eukaryota; Viridiplantae; Streptophyta; Magnoliopsida; Fagales; Fagaceae
Exons: 2
Source: RefSeq, a predicted model, not a curated record